This 452-nucleotide ribosomal RNA is filed under the name uncultured bacterium. RNAcentral's name for it is "bacterial SSU rRNA". It matches the Rfam family "Bacterial small subunit ribosomal RNA", at positions 29 to 482 of the family's 1533-position model. The record is from RNAcentral.
AACGAACGCUGGCGGCGUGCCUAACACAUGCAAGUCGAACGAGAAAGUUUUCUUCGGAAAACGAGUAGAGUGGCGCACGGGUGAGUAACACGUGGAUAACCUGCCCUAUGAUCUGGGAUAACACUUCGAAAGGGGUGCUAAUACCGGAUAAGCCCACACAACCUUCGGGGCGAGUGGGAAAAGAUUUAUCGUCAUAGGAUGGGUCCGCGGUCCAUUAGUUAGUUGGUGGGGUAACGGCCUACCAAGACCACGAUGGAUAGCUGGUCUGAGAGGAUGAUCAGCCACACUGGAACUGAGACACGGUCCAGACUCCUACGGGAGGCAGCAGUGGGGAAUUUUGCGCAAUGGGGGAAACCCUGACGCAGCAACGCCGCGUGAAGGAUGAAGGCCUUUGGGUCGUAAACUUCUGUCAGUGGGGAAGAAAUGCCAGCAAUGGUGAUGACGGUACCCGC